RNAcentral lists this long non-coding RNA (2322 nucleotides) under Eucalyptus grandis. Its description in RNAcentral is "long non-coding RNA (EGRA_LNC006020)". The record is from RNAcentral. Lineage: Eukaryota; Viridiplantae; Streptophyta; Magnoliopsida; Myrtales; Myrtaceae.
CUUUCCUUUAUUUUCUUCGUACGAAGCCAGCCGAGUCUUGCUGUUGCUUUUCUUUCAAUCUUCCAUCAAAUUCUGCAGCCCCUCACGGUUUCUUCAGCCCACGCCCACGCCCACGAUCAUUUUCUUUUUUUUAAUCAUCUGCCACAUACCACCGUCUCUCUCCUCAAAUUCUCUCCACUCACUCUCUUCCUCACGGCCACAGAAACCCACGGAUGAAGCCUCCACGGAGUCAAACUCCCUUGGCCUAUUUUGGUUGUUGACUUCUCUUGCCAAACGGCUUCAAUCCACCGAAGUGAAGCCAGCAACUCCGUGUGCGUCAGCCCAUCUUUCCCCCACCGAGCAAGCUCAGUCUACGCCAGCUUCCUUGCCGCUUUCGCUGCCACCGGAGAUCAACGAAGCUGAUCUCCCUCUUUCGCUCAUGUCUUCACCCAGCGUCUUCAGCCACGUGAGCAGCAGCAGCCCACGCAAAUUCUCGGGCCCAGCUUUGGCCGUAGACUCCAGCACGUUCGGCCCAAUUGAAGUCCAUCAACAGCCCAUCUCAGCCCGUAAAUUUCAGUCCAGAAUGUUUCGCAGCAGCCCAGCCCAGAUUUAAAGCCCAUCCUCGGCCCAAUUCCAGCUCACUUGAGGCCCACGUAGUCAAGCCCAGUUCCGAGCCCAAGCCCGCGAAGCAAGCCUAGUCCAAUGCAAUAACAAAUCUCAGUUUGGGCUGAUAUUUUUUGGGCCCGUUUUAGGCCCGGCCCGACUGUUCGCCAACGUCGCCGAAAAUUCAUAUUUCGGCCGCCGUCGCGCCACCGUCACAGUGAACCGGUUUCCGCAAUUAACCGGUGAGUUUUUUUACUAAACUCUUCUUAGUAGGCUAAUAACGUCUAAGGGGUGUUUAGAUUUAUUUAAUUAGGAAUUAUGUGGUUGGUUAGAUUAAUUUAGUGAUUUAAUUAUGCAAUUAUGCAUGUUAGGUGGUUAGAUUAGAUUAAGUGAGGCCUAGAUAAAUUGUGCUAUUUAUCUAGUAGGGUUCGAGAAUUUUCCGGGUCCAUAUUGGUAUUUAAUUUAGUGAUUUUGGCAUAGGUUGGCAUUUUACUAUUUAAAUUGAUUUAUUUAAUUAAUUUUAGAAAUUAUUUAAUUAUUAAUUAUUUUCCGAAAAUUAGUCCAAGAUAGCUGGUGACCGGAAUUUCGUACUGAUUGCAAUGGUGUGGUUAAUUUUUGCAAUUGAGUGAUAGUUUGUGCAAAUUGAGUGUUGAUUGGAAUUUUGAAUAUUUAAUUUCAAAAAUUGUGAAUUUCAUUAUUUAUUCAGAAAAUUCCGGGUGUUGGGUUUUAAACACCGAAAAUGGUUUUAUAUACUAUAUAUAUAUUAGUGGGAUUUUGAAAAGAAGGUUAUGAAUUUUCUGGGUCCAAUCUGACCGUGUACCAACGCACGACUAUUAUUACUGAAUUUUUUUAAUACGAAGGAAACAUGCCAAGAUCACUAUUUUAAUGGAGGCAUUUGAGUGCAAUGCACAUUGUCCUAGGCCGAGAUUGAGUGGUCGUGUGUUGGAUAAGAGAACCUGUCUCGAACAAUUAUGCCGGAUGUUACUAAAUCCCUUUUCGGGUUACCCAUGCAUUAGGGUAGUGGGUCGCAAUAAAUUCUGGACCUACACCCCUUCGGAGAAGCCGUCUAAUUGAGAGACGUCGCCAUGCUCAAAGGAGGUGAGACGACACCUGGCAAUGCCAGAAGACCGCCAAUUUUGGAGUUGGCCGUACCCUUGAGGGGUGUAAUUAACAAUUGAAACGCAUGAUUGUUGAGUUUGAUGCACCCGAUUAUGAGACCAAAACUGUGUGACAUGGAAUAGAAUGUGUUAUAACGGUUUAGUCUUAUAAUCAGGACCCUGGUGAUUAGUUGAAUUGAUGAGGUGUUCCAGUUGUUAUGUGCAUUGAUUAUAUGCAUUGCAAUAUGAAUUGUACUGACAUGUAGAAAGGAAACUAAGGCGAGGUAAGUCCUCUAUGCCAAUUGUGUGGUUGUGUGGCUAGAGCACCCUAAAGCGUAUUUCCCUCAUAAUAUGAGUUUAGUAGGUAGACUUGCUGAGACAUUAUUUCACUGGUUAUUGAAUAACCAUUCUCAGGUCCUUAGAAGGUGGUCGUGGAAGACCAAGGUCUCAAAGUCUGAGGAGGAGGAGUAUGGAGGAUCGGUGGAUAUGUCUUAUCAGUAUGUCGUAGGACAACCUCUUGUGAGAGUCGACCUUUUUGUAGGCUUUCAUCUAAACUCGUUUUGUACCUGAAUCUCGUUGUUUGUAAAAGUGUGCUUUUAUGACUUGAUAUCCUACUUUCUUAUCCCGAGAUAUUUUUGUCAAG